This is a long non-coding RNA of Penaeus monodon (black tiger shrimp), 397 nucleotides long. RefSeq lists it as uncharacterized. The record is from RefSeq and is a predicted model, not a curated record. The transcript has 3 exons. Lineage: Eukaryota; Metazoa; Arthropoda; Malacostraca; Decapoda; Penaeidae.
AGCGCUGCCGUCGCCGCAGAUGGCGAUGACGGAGUGAGCCUUGACGAGCAAGAGGAGGACGAUGACGGAGGCCGCCCCCGCCGAGUGCGCAGGCAGCGGUGGCAGCCGCAUUGGCGACAUUCUCUCGGGGUCUGGGAGCUGACGCAGAGGAUCUUUGAGAAUCUCAGCUUCAGAGAAGUUGCAAGACUAAGAGCAGUAUGCAGGACUUGGGCGGAUGUUGGAGCCAAGAUACUAGAGAAACGCAGAAGACUGCACUACUUGACCAUUCAUCCGCACAGCAUCCCCACCACAGAGGGGAAGGUGACUAUUGGUGAAUUAUCUCCAAGCAGUUUGUUUGAAGGGUUUUUUGAGCACAUUGUUAGCAGACCUCGAUAUUGCUUUGGAUUCUGCAAUGAAG